AGUGAACGCUGGCGGUAGGCCUAACACAUGCAAGUCGAACGGCAGCACAGUAAGAGCUUGCUCUUACGGGUGGCGAGUGGCGGACGGGUGAGGAAUACAUCGGAAUCUACUUUUUCGUGGGGGAUAACGUAGGGAAACUUACGCUAAUACCGCAUACGACCUACGGGUGAAAGCAGGGGAUCUUCGGACCUUGCGCGAUUGAAUGAGCCGAUGUCGGAUUAGCUAGUUGGCGGGGUAAAGGCCCACCAAGGCGACGAUCCGUAGCUGGUCUGAGAGGAUGAUCAGCCACACUGGAACUGAGACACGGUCCAGACUCCUACGGGAGGCAGCAGUGGGGAAUAUUGGACAAUGGGCGCAAGCCUGAUCCAGCCAUACCGCGUGGGUGAAGAAGGCCUUCGUGUUGUAAAACCCUUUUGUUGGGAAAGAAAAGCAGCAGGUUAAUACCCCGCUGUUCUGACGGUACCCAAAGAAUAAGCACCGGCUAACUUCGUG
Molecule: ribosomal RNA, 492 nt
Filed under: uncultured bacterium
Lineage: Bacteria
Description: partial 16S ribosomal RNA
Rfam family: Bacterial small subunit ribosomal RNA
Source: RNAcentral